Pogoniulus pusillus (Red-fronted tinkerbird) is the source of this 563-nucleotide long non-coding RNA. RefSeq lists it as uncharacterized. The transcript is spliced from 2 exons. NCBI's taxonomy places the organism in Eukaryota, Metazoa, Chordata, Aves, Piciformes, Lybiidae. The record is from RefSeq and is a predicted model, not a curated record.
ACUUUGCCCUCCCUACUCCCCUCCCCUAUUUAAUGGGCCCCAGGAAAGGCAGAAGGUUCAAGCUUGCCCAACUGGGCAGAGGGAUCCUUCUCCCGUCGUGACUGUAGAUCCAGGUGUGUGGCAUGUAUAUCCUCUCCACCGGAAGACUAUGAUGUUCACUUUGAGGAUUCCUGAAGACUGUCUGCUUCUCAAGCUGAAUAAAGGAGCAGAAAGCUUGUGGGAGGAACCAAGCUUUUGUGAACAUUGAUUAUUUUUUCAUCACAGAAAAACUCCUUGACUUCCAGAAAUUUCCUCUGAAAAAAGCUGUACAAGCUGAGAUUGAUCUAUGAGAGGUCAUUAAGAGGUCUAUAGUCAUAAGUCAAAACCAUUUCAUCUACUGACUUCUGCUGAAGGAUAUGCACUGCCUGUAUAUUGUCCUGUAUGUCUUACACAGGAACACGUCUUCACCCUAAUAUUUUGUCCCUCUUGCCAUUGAAAAGACAGAAAAUUACAUUUCUGGAAACAUUUGAUGUAUUUAAUCAUAGUAAUAAUGUGAUAUUAAAGUGAUUACAGGCUCCUAUUCA